UUUUCUUUGGAUUAGUGCUACUUCACUCUUACACAUAGUAAAGCUGCGACAGUAUGAUAAACGUCAUUUUUAAGUUAGGAGAAGUACGAAGUUAGCUGAUGUCUUUCCUGUUAUUUUUAUUUAGUCACUGUUUACAUUGGACAUUUAUUUGUAGAUGUUGUUAGACGAAUAUUCUGUUUGGUUUUGUUUUUUAUUGUUAAUUGUGCAGCGAAAUUGUGAUAGUAAAUUAAAUAUAAAGUUGUUUAUAGCCUACAGAACUGAAUUAUCCCAUAGUAAUUAUCAGUUUGUGUCAAUUUGUUUGUGUGCAAAAAAGAAAAAACACCUUUCCUUGUGUUUGACCGACUUGUAGCAAGGGCUUUCUUGAGAAGCCUGUAAAUUGCGGGAAUAGGACAGACAGGGAUAAAAUCCUCACUUUUUACUGUUCCCAAGGCUAUACAUUUCCCCCAUGCAAUACAUUUAAAUGAAUUUUAUCCAAACAAAGGCAGGAACAUUGGAUAAAAGCAAUAAAGAGAACAGACCACAAAUUAAAAUAUGAGAGUAUGUAGUAAACAUUUUAUAAGUGGCAAGUUUAAAGUAAUUCAACUAAGUAAUAAGUUUUGAAAAUGUCUACAAUAAAAAUAUAUAUGUACUUUCCAAUUCGGUUCUAGUUUAGAACAAGGGUUAUGUAAAGAAAAUCAUGCUUGACCAUGAAUAAACACCAGCUAUUUUAAAUGUAGGAAAAGGAGAAACUGCUGGAAUCUAAUUUUACACAAAUGUUUUUGACUAUUGAAGAUUUGGAUAAACAACAGAAGUUACUUUGGGCUAUAGCUAUGUGCAGAUUUAUUUCCUUGUGGAUUACUAUGUUUAUUCUUUUUAACUAUACUUCCUAUAUUGUUUGUGAGAUUAAUAUUAUUAUUUAAUUGAUUAUAUUAAUAUUUUGUAAUAAUAAUCAAUGCUUUGGUUUAACAAAUAGACAACUUAGAAUAGAAAAA
Diabrotica virgifera virgifera (western corn rootworm) is the source of this 971-nucleotide long non-coding RNA. RefSeq lists it as uncharacterized. The transcript is spliced from 2 exons. Lineage: Eukaryota; Metazoa; Arthropoda; Insecta; Coleoptera; Chrysomelidae. The record is from RefSeq and is a predicted model, not a curated record.